GGGGAUUUAGCUCAGUGGUAGAGCGCUUGCCUAGCAAGUGCAAGGCCCUGGGUUCCGUUCCCAGCUCCG
Non-coding RNA from Rattus norvegicus (Norway rat), 69 nucleotides. The record is from Rfam. NCBI's taxonomy places the organism in Eukaryota, Metazoa, Chordata, Mammalia, Rodentia, Muridae.